Long non-coding RNA from Hydractinia symbiolongicarpus, 380 nucleotides. RefSeq lists it as uncharacterized. The record is from RefSeq and is a predicted model, not a curated record. The transcript has 2 exons. Lineage: Eukaryota; Metazoa; Cnidaria; Hydrozoa; Anthoathecata; Hydractiniidae.
UGAGCUCUCAUCCCUACUUGAGUUUGACAAGUGAAGUGUGCGAAUUUUGAUAUCUAAUUACAUUUCAGGAAUCCUAAUCAAAUUUUAUAAUUAAUUUUGGUUUUGAUGCCAUAUUUGACUUUCGUUUUUUGGUUUUGUAAGUAUUUCAUUUUAAAAUUUUAGUCUCUGUUUUUUUUAGUUUAAGGAUGGAUUUUUUUCCUACACCCAAUGAUAUUUCCAUACCAAUAAUUAUCGACGCCAGUAGAAGCUGCAACGGCAAAACUUGGUAUCAAAUAUCCAUCUACUAUACCCAGCACUGAAGAAACUCAAUUCCGUCCAUGAUUUUAUGUAAUAUUUAAGACGUAAUUGUAAAACUUAAUUUAAAUAAAAAAAUAAGAAAA